Long non-coding RNA from Drosophila nasuta, 1329 nucleotides. RefSeq lists it as uncharacterized. Lineage: Eukaryota; Metazoa; Arthropoda; Insecta; Diptera; Drosophilidae. The record is from RefSeq and is a predicted model, not a curated record. The transcript has 2 exons.
CCGUCCCCAGCUUGGACCGUCUUGGCCCGGCAUAGCCGGAGGCUUUAAGCAUCUGGGCGAGCGCUCUCUUAAGGAAAUGCUGCCACAGACGGCUAGUCAAGAUUUAAAAGAUUUUAAUUGUCACUUUCGUUGGCUUUUUUCAGUCACCAGGCGAAAUUUCAAAAAUGUUAAUACAAAAUUAAUGCGCUCAAAAAAUAAAUGAGCAUUGUGCAAGCGACUCGUAUUUUUAUAUAUAGGUGUUGAUGUUGGCGUUUGGCAUUGCAAAUGCAACUCGUAAUUCAAUUGACAAAGUGCAUCCACUUAUCAUGCGAUUUAAUGUAAGUUUUAUGCAAAACCUAAGAGACGUCUUAGAAUCCGAGUCUCAAUUAGGAAUCACUGGGACCAGUUACAGCUUAGCCUUGAGCCAGUUUAAUCCGGCACUAAGAAGAUGACGUCGGAGCUGGCUAAGUAAACCAGCUAAUCUAUUGCAUUGAGCAAUGAUUUUGAAUGGAUUAGCUGAAUGCCCGCGACUGGAAUUCGCUGUUGAAUCACAAUCCGGACCGGUUGCAUUCAACUGUUACUAAAGUUAUUAACGUCGAAUUCAAAUCGAAUUCAUUUACUAAUUGGUCAAGUGUUAAAUGAAACGAUUUGCUCGAUUUAUGCUGUAUCCAGUUGCGCCACAAUGGAUCUAUUACUACAUUAAGCUGGCGUUAAUCAAGCAAAACAUGUGUAUAAUGAGUCGUAUACGUGAUAAAAACCAAACGCGAUCAUAAAAUGGGGGUGUGCGACAUUAAUGACAUUCUUUACUCUGAAAGUACUGAAAGUAAAACAAGUUCAACAAACUGUUUAUACAGUUAUCGGCCCAGAAGUCGACUUUAAGAUUUUCAUAAAAUAAACAGCCUCAAGCUUAUGAGUAAGCCGCAAUAAGCUCUUCAUAUAAUAUACGAAAGCUUAAUCAAAAAGCUUAACGCUUUCGAUCUUUACCUUAAAGCUUUUUGAUCUUGGUUCAAUUGGUCAGCGGAAACAGCCGGAAGAAAGCUUUCAAUGGCCAAUUAAGAUACACAAAUGGGCCAGUCAAACAGUUCAUCAGCAACAAAAAAAACGAGACUCACUUAUAUAAGAAAACAGUUGCAAAUUUGCUGACCGUAAAAAAGUUGUUGCUGGCUGCAGCACAGAGCGAGUAAACCUGAGAAGAGCGGAAAUCUGCAACCACGCUAACUUUUUAACUAUUGUCAUUUAUUUCAAUACACAAAUUCAAUGUUCGGCUUAAAUGUAACCGCGCUCAAUUGGCCAUGAAUUAUUGCAGCAAUAACGAAAUAAAAAAUGCUUAAGAAAUAUUCAAAUAAAUUA